Balaenoptera ricei (Rice's whale) is the source of this 2126-nucleotide long non-coding RNA. RefSeq lists it as uncharacterized. The transcript has 4 exons. The record is from RefSeq and is a predicted model, not a curated record. Lineage: Eukaryota; Metazoa; Chordata; Mammalia; Artiodactyla; Balaenopteridae.
GGCUCUUACAGCAGGCUUGCUGAGCAGAGGCAGAAACAGAAGUCUUUGGCUGCAACCCUCUCAGUGAGAACAUUGUGGCUCCUCAGUUCCCACGAAAGGGUGACCCGGAGGAGAAGACUGUGGCCCCUUAGGUGACCCCGAGUCCUCCAGCGUCACGUGUCAUCAAGGUGUGAGCUGGAACACACUUCUAGCGGCUCAGCCGCACCCAUCCAUUACGUGGUUCCUUCUCCUGGUGGUACCCUGCAUAGCUGCCAAAUGUUUGUAAUCCUCCAUUCCUGAAAUCAUGAGAAGUCUCUGAAGAGUAUAGUGUUAGCCUCUUACAAAGAAGAAACCAUCACUGCGGGGAACUUCAGAGAACUGCGUAAAGAUCACUGGCCGAGAGCCUUUGUGACAACAAUCAGCUGGAAUUUCUAGAUGGUGAUUUUUCCACUCUGCAUAUCCUGAGAACAGGAGGGAAGGUACACUCCCAGGAGAGAGCUGGUCAGAGCAAUCACAGGCGGCUCUGGGAAAGGAGCACAUUCCAUGGAGAAGCAAAAUGGAAAGAGCAAUAAUCCAGGGAAAGAAGGACCUGAGAGAGAGGGGGGCCUGAGCCACGCAGACCAAAAAUCUGACAACUCUGAUACAGUAGCUGCUUAGAAACAAGGCAUACACCCAGGUAGAUUUGUGGCUUAAAAUACCAACAGGUUGAACAAGAAGCAACACAAUGAUGUGAAUUAACGUGCACCGAAGUGUAUGAACCUGACUGCAGGUCCUUCUGAAGGUAGAGAAACUGGGGGAUGAGGUGGUGAGGAGGAACCCCACUGAGCAGGUGCAGGGCACCAGCAGGGCAGGCUGGAGGUAAAGGUAAGCCUCAUCCAUCUAAUGAAACUUCCCGGCGCUGGUCUUGCUGAAACGGAGCACCAGCUGACAGCAACCCAUGCUGUAUCACAUUAAAAGGGACUUGUUACAAAUGGGCUACUCUAUCUGCUCAGCUACAUUACCCAUAAAGUCAAGGGGGGAUGCUACCUGAUUCUGAGUAGGCAUUAGGGUUCUGUCUAUUACCAGCAGGUCACAUUAAACAAAACCUCAAACGUACAUAGAUGCUGAAUUAUUAGAGCUCAAAGGACAGGUAACGAUGUUGGUAAAAUUUCAAUACACUCCCAAUUAACCCGUCAUUGUCCCCUGGGUGGCCCCUGCAAAUAUAAAUUAUAGACCUCAGGAUAAGGUGACAGAUGCCAAAGGAUCAGGUCAUCAGCCAAAAAAUGGGCAGAACUCCAAAUAGAUAUCACAUUGGAUUCAACUUACCGUAUUUGGUUUUCACUUUACAAACACACCAGCUAAUGUGUCUCUUUUCACAAGUGGAUUUCAUAUCUAUCCUUCCAGACCCAACUCCUACGCCACAAUCUCUUGAGAGGACAAUAAGUAAAGAAACCAAUCAACAGAAAGAUGAUUUGGGAUCCUAAUAAGUGUUAUGGAAAAAAAAAUAAAAACCGGCAAUGGGAUGAAGAGUGAUUUCAAGGAAUGACAAUGUAGCAUCUGGGACUGUACAUUUCAGCUGAGAGCUACUUGAAGAGAAGGAGCCAGUCAUGCAAAGAUCUGCAAGGGGAGAGAAUCAGAAGAGGCCUGAAACUAAAGCAAUGUCUGUUACUGGUGAGGGUAGACACUUGGGAGGGCUGUAGAGGGAGAUGCUAGAGCUGGUUAAUUGCUAAUUGUCUCUCCUCCAUGUAAAUCAGAGCAGGGUGCCAACUUCCCCCCCUCACUGUGCAUAUUCUUUUUGUUACCAUUUUUAUUUUCUUAAUUCUGCUCCCUGAUUUUCAUUAAAUUACAAGAACAUGACCCUCUUUGAGCAGCAAACACAUCUGGAGCCCUCUUCUAACCCCUUAUCAUAUAAAACACCAAAUUAAAGCCAUCGGAAAAUAGAAGCUGAGAGUAUUAAGAUUUAGCUUUCAUUAUUAUGAGGUUCAUUCAACUAAUGUUUAUCUUUAUGACCAUUACAUCUCAUUAUCAUUACCGAUCAUAGGCAGAAGCUAAGUUAUAAACUCAUGAUUUGUUUCUUUCCAUAUUAUCUUAAUCGAAGUCCUAUUAUGGGGUAAAUAGCUUUAGCAAAGCUGCAUAUUUAACUAUACACUAACAUAAAAAAACCAGCA